Molecule: long non-coding RNA, 2363 nt
Organism: Cygnus olor (mute swan)
Lineage: Eukaryota; Metazoa; Chordata; Aves; Anseriformes; Anatidae
Exons: 2
Source: RefSeq, a predicted model, not a curated record
AAUCAUUUUUUUUCAAAUGUGUCAUACAGAAGUUUUACAGUACUGCUUGUCUCGAAACUUCUUCCUUUCAAGUGGAAGGAAGGAAGAGAGUGAAGAGGCACACCAGAGUCCUAUAGAGCUACUGCACUUCAACACUUCCGUCAUGUUUCUGCUCUUUACAUUCCUUUCCAGAACAAUUUCUAAGUAUUAAGACAGAGCCUGCUACCCAUACUUCUUGCUUAUUUUAUAAGGAUGUGACAAGAUAGUUACAAAUACUCCACAGGCUGACAGGAAGGAUAUUUGCAACACUCAGCUUUAUACAUCCAGCUUGGCUGAUUAAGUUAAAAGGGUGUUAUGCCUUGAGCUCCUUAUGUAAACUGUAGGGAAAACAGCUCCUUUGAGGGAGACUGAGAGCAAGACUUACAUCAUGUGGAUGGAACGGAACAAGCUGAGGGCAACCAGCUGGAAACCAGAUGGGUCCUGGAUGACACCAUGAUGACCAUGAGAUAGCAAAGUGCUGUGGUGGCAAAGACCAACAUCUUCCUGAGCUACUUUAGGUGAAGCAUUGCCAGGAGGUCAAGGGAGGUGACCCUUCCCCUCUACUCAGCACUGGUGAGACCCAUCUGGAGUGCUGGGUCCACCUCUGAGCCCCUCAGGACAAAAGAGACAUGGACAUACUAGAACAAAUCCAGCAAAAGGCCAUGAAGACGCAUGAAGAGUACCUGUCGUGAGGAGAAGCUGAGAGAGCUGGGUUUGUUCAGCCUGGAGGAGAGAAGGCUCAGGAGAACCUCAAUCAGUGUCUAUAAAAACCUUCUUAUUCCUCUUUGAAUUUUUUUCUUGCUUCUCAAAAUGUAAGUCAUAUCACCAUUAUCAUUUUCACAUCAGUAAAUCACUUUUAAGUGAUCCUAAUAGCAUUACUUGAUGACAGGAUUUUUGAGGGAACUAAGGGAAUCUAAUUUAUACAUCACCCUCAUGCUUUUGUUCAAAGGCUUUUUGUUUAGUCUGUUCACAUACCAGCCCUACAUAUAAAGCCAUUUCUGAUGAAGCAGUUAUACUAUUUUAAAUAUAUAUUCACAGAUAGAAAGGCCAGAUCUCUAUCCUGAGCUUCAUAGUACAAUGUGCAGUAUGUAACUUUGCAAUUCUACUCUAUGCAUGUAAUUCUUACACAGUAAGAGUUUUUAUUUUCAAGAAGUUACCUUCCUAUCAAAAAAUGCACCAAACAAGGCAUGACAAUAACCAGUACUAACAACUGAAUGCAAAAGUCGUUGAGACAUAAAACAAGUCAUAAAUAGAAAACACAUUUCAGUAAGCAUCUUGAUAAUAAUGUUACAACUGUCUGGAAGAAUCACACAUCAGGCUCAUUUUACUGCCAUCUUUCAUACCAGUUUUACCGUCUCUACCCCAGACAGCAGGCUAAGUAUAGGUAUCACUAACAUACAUGAAACCAGACGGCAGCCAGUAUUCUUGCAUAGCUUCCAGCUCAGCUGUCAUCCCGUCUGAUUCUCAGUGGGCUCAGAUAUAAUCCAUUGAAGAUGUCAUUCCCACAGGAAGCUGGGGAUCAGUUCACACAGAACUUUGUGUUUGUUUGCAUACGUGUAUUCACUGUAGUUAAUGUCAUUUUACUGACUGCACUUAAAAGUUCCUCUCCCUGCCCUGUACCAUGUGAAAUGAGAUUAUCCCUCAAACCAUGAGACUGUUUCUGACAAAACAUAUGCGAAUGACACCACAGAAUGUCUGCCACAUCCAUGAGAACUACCGGUUUCAGAAAACAAAACCAACUUAAAUAGCUUCAAAUCCUAUAUUGUCUGCAUUACUUCUACUAGAAAUGAUGGAUUGGUCACCUUUUUAAGCUUAUGGUCCAGAAUGAUUGCAAAGUGAUUAUAAACCAAACCUUUAAAUCUCAUACAGAUCUCAACUUUUUCAUACAGGAUGUCAUUCACUAAUGUUGCUAUGUCACAUUAUCUUCCCAGGAUAUUUUGAAAAAAAAAAGAAACUGUUUUGACUCAAAAAUUAUUGUAAGGAUAAAAAUACAAAGAAAAACAGUAAAAGCAGGACUAAAAAUAACAUCUAUUAAUGAAAUGUUACAAUUUCUCCCACAAUAUGAAGAGAUUUUAGUAAGACAGUCAAAAAUCUUAAUUUAAGAGUCAGUUCAUUUAUAGCUAGAAUUAUAGGAGAUGUAUGUUAUGGUACUGAGCAGUGAGUGGCCAAGGACUGUUCCAAAAUGACCUUAAGCUCAUUCUUCUAAAUCAGUUCAAACUUUUUCCCCAUAAACAUCACCUACCAGGCCCUUUUCCACUACAAAUUCUAUGGACUCAUAAAAAUUUAUCCUCCCUGAAAAAAAAAAAAAAAAAAAAAAAAGGAGAUAGAAGGAAAUCUGCAUUUGG